Molecule: ribosomal RNA, 325 nt
Filed under: uncultured eukaryote
Lineage: Eukaryota
Description: partial 18S ribosomal RNA
Rfam family: Eukaryotic small subunit ribosomal RNA
Source: RNAcentral
CCCUUAGAUGUUCUGGGCCGCACGCGCGCUACACUGAUGCAUUCAACGAGCCUAUCCUUGACCGACAGGUCCGGGUAAUCUUUGAAUCUGCAUCGUGACGGGGAUAGAUUAUUGCAAUUAUUAAUCUUCAACGAGGAAUGCCUAGUAGGCGCAAGUCAUCAGCUUGCGUCGAUUACGUUCCUGCCCUUUGUACACACCGCCCGUCGCUCCUACCGAUUGGGUGUGCUGGUGAAAUGUUCGGAUCGGCCGUUUGUCGCGGUUUCCGCGGCUCGUGGCUGAGAAGUUCAUUAAACCCUCCCACCUAGAGGAAGGAGAAGUCGUAACA